AGACGUGAGGAUGAUCUGGCUGUGAAAACUGUCACCUGCCAAUAGCCAGGGUUGAUGCAGCUAAUCUGACUGGCUAAGCAGGUGUCCCCUUCCUCCCCCAUCACUCCAUGUGCAUGCCACCUGAAGCUGCAUGCAUCCCCAAAUAGAAAAGAACUCAGAAAAUGAGUAGCUCCUCUCUCUGUCCAGAACCUCCAAGCAAGCUCUCAGGACGGAAGGAACUACCUUCUACUGUGACCAAUCCCUUUGAAAAUUUGGCCAUUGUCUCUCCUUU
This 271-nucleotide small nuclear RNA is filed under the name Peromyscus maniculatus bairdii (prairie deer mouse). Its description in RNAcentral is "7SK RNA (ENSPEMG00000002583.2)". It matches the Rfam family "7SK RNA". Rfam says of the family: 7SK was discovered as an abundant small nuclear RNA in the mid-70s but a possible function has only recently been suggested. Two independent studies have found that 7SK RNA binds the CDK9/cyclin T complex (known as elongation factor P-TEFb). P-TEFb activates transcription by phosphorylating the C-terminal domain of RNA polymerase II. The record is from RNAcentral. Lineage: Eukaryota; Metazoa; Chordata; Mammalia; Rodentia; Cricetidae.